UUAUCAGCACUCGUUAUUCUGACACCCAUUUAACUGCCUCGUAUACCUAUCUCAUAUUAUGAAAAUAAUUUGUUUAUUAAGAAAACUGUAUGUUAAUACAGACAAUCAAACAUACAUCAUGUCGAAUAAUAGAAAAAAUUAAAUAAAUCAUGAAAUGCUCUGAUCUUCGUGUCAUGCUUCGCAAAGUCGUUACAACUUCCAUCUCUGAAGGCAGAUACAGAUUUCUAACUACCCAAGUGGAAUGACUAGAUCAGAUACAGAUACGACAAUUUGCUCAAACCCAUUUUUAGCUAGCCAAAAAAUAGUACAAUCUACCACCACAACCGUACCAGCUAUAGUCGCCCUAACAGAUAUCUAUAGUCACAAUAUUACUUAGCCACAGGUGACCCCUACAGAUAAUGUGAUACCACUCUUGUUAGAGGGUACGUCGUCCUCUAUUGGGAGUGGUCCUCUUACGUCUUUCGAGACCAGAUAGAGGAAGGAGGAAAAAAAUACCCCAAAGAG
RNAcentral lists this long non-coding RNA (504 nucleotides) under Carica papaya (papaya). Its description in RNAcentral is "long non-coding RNA (CPAP_LNC004759)". Lineage: Eukaryota; Viridiplantae; Streptophyta; Magnoliopsida; Brassicales; Caricaceae. The record is from RNAcentral.